RNAcentral lists this ribosomal RNA (898 nucleotides) under uncultured Sphingobacteriales bacterium. Its description in RNAcentral is "bacterial SSU rRNA". It matches the Rfam family "Bacterial small subunit ribosomal RNA", at positions 26 to 933 of the family's 1533-position model. The record is from RNAcentral. Lineage: Bacteria; Pseudomonadati; Bacteroidota; Sphingobacteriia; Sphingobacteriales.
AGGAUGAGCGCGCGCGGCAGGCUUAACACAUGCAAGUCGAGGGGUAUAGUAGCAAUACUAGAGACCGGCGCACGGGUGCGUAACGCGUAUGCAAUCUACCUUUUGCAGAGGGAUAGCCCAGAGAAAUUUGGAUUAAUACCUCAUAGUAUAAUUGAAUGGCAUCAUUUAAUUAUUAAAGUCACAACGGCAAAAGAUGAGCAUGCGUCCCAUUAGUUAGUUGGUAAGGUAACGGCUUACCAAGACAACGAUGGGUAGGGGUCCUGAGAGGGAGAUCCCCCACACUGGUACUGAGACACGGACCAGACUCCUACGGGAGGCAGCAGUGAGGAAUAUUGGACAAUGGGCGCAAGCCUGAUCCAGCCAUGCCGCGUGCAGGAAGACGGUCCUAUGGAUUGUAAACUGCUUUUGCACAGGAAGAAACAUCCCGACGUGUCGGGACUUGACGGUACUGUGAGAAUAAGGAUCGGCUAACUCCGUGCCAGCAGCCGCGGUAAUACGGAGGAUCCAAGCGUUAUCCGGAAUCAUUGGGUUUAAAGGGUCCGUAGGCGGCUUUAUAAGUCAGUGGUGAAAUCUCCCCGCUCAACGGGGAAACGGCCAUUGAUACUGUAAGGCUUGAAUUAUUAGGAAGUAACUAGAAUAUGUAGUGUAGCGGUGAAAUGCUUAGAGAUUACAUGGAAUACCAAUUGCGAAGGCAGGUUACUACUAAUGGAUUGACGCUGAUGGACGAAAGCGUGGGUAGCGAACAGGAUUAGAUACCCUGGUAGUCCACGCCGUAAACGAUGGAUACUAGCUGUUGGGAGCAAUCUCAGUGGCUAAGCGAAAGUGAUAAGUAUCCCACCUGGGGAGUACGUUCGCAAGAAUGAAACUCAAAGGAAUUGACGGGGCCCGCACAAGCGGU